GACGAACGCUGGCGGCGUGCUUAACACAUGCCAGUCGAACGGAAAGGCCCUGCUUUUGUGGGGUACACGAGUGGCGAACGGGUGAGUAACACGUGAGUAACCUGCCCUUGACUUUGGGAUAACUUCAGGAAACUGGGGCUAAUACCGGAUAGGAGCUCCUGCUGCAUGGUGGGGGUUGGAAAGUUUCGGCGGUUGGGGAUGGACUCGCGGCUUAUCAGCUUGUUGGUGGGGUAGUGGCUUACCAAGGCUUUGACGGGUAGCCGGCCUGAGAGGGUGACCGGCCACAUUGGGACUGAGAUACGGCCCAGACUCCUACGGGAGGCAGCAGUGGGGAAUAUUGCACAAUGGGCGGAAGCCUGAUGCAGCAACGCCGCGUGCGGGAUGACGGCCUUCGGGUUGUAAACCGCUUUCGCCUGUGACGAAGCGUGAGUGACGGUAAUGGGUAAAGAAGCACCGGCUAACUACGUG
This 468-nucleotide ribosomal RNA is filed under the name uncultured bacterium. RNAcentral's name for it is "partial 16S ribosomal RNA". It matches the Rfam family "Bacterial small subunit ribosomal RNA", at positions 28 to 507 of the family's 1533-position model. The record is from RNAcentral.